Molecule: long non-coding RNA, 406 nt
Filed under: Ficedula albicollis (Collared flycatcher)
Lineage: Eukaryota; Metazoa; Chordata; Aves; Passeriformes; Muscicapidae
Description: lncRNA (ENSFALG00000028608.1)
Source: RNAcentral
CAAGCAAAUACAUUUUUGUGCCAUAAGCUUGUGUCCUCCUGAAAUGCAUCCUUCCCCGACAAGUAGCUGCUUCAGCAGACGCUGGUGUUGACACUGCUGAAUUCUGUACAGACUGUGAUGGCUCUGACUGCAUGGCCAGACCCCCACAUGGGGUGCAGAAAGCACAUUAGAGGCUGAACGUUGGCCCUUGGAGCACUAGGCUAGAGUUGCUCCUGUGAUCACUUGGGAAUACACGCUCUGAGGUUGGAAAAAGAUUCUGAGACUAGAUUGGGGAAAAAUCCUGCAAAGCAGAGAGGAGAGCCCAAAGUUGAACACAGCGGAAAAGACAUAGUUUGAAAAAAUCCUCAAUUUUGUAUCUAUGUAAUGUAAUACAGAUACUUAAGAGUAAAAACUUAAAAUUAGUAUU